This 506-nucleotide ribosomal RNA is filed under the name uncultured bacterium. RNAcentral describes it as "partial 16S ribosomal RNA". It matches the Rfam family "Bacterial small subunit ribosomal RNA", at positions 29 to 523 of the family's 1533-position model. The record is from RNAcentral.
AGUGAACGCUGGCGGUAGGCCUAACACAUGCAAGUCGAACGGCAGCACAGGAGAGCUUGCUCUCUGGGUGGCGAGUGGCGGACGGGUGAGGAAUACAUCGGAAUCUACUCUGUCGUGGGGGAUAACGUAGGGAAACUUACGCUAAUACCGCAUACGACCUACGGGUGAAAGCAGGGGACCUUCGGUCCUUGCGCGAUUGAAUGAGCCGAUGUCGGAUUAGCUAGUUGGCGGGGUAAAGGCCCACCAAGGCGACGAUCCGUAGAUGGUCUGAGAGGAUGAUCAGCAAAACUGGAACUGAGACACGGUCCAUACUCCUACGGGAGGCAGCAGUGGGGAAUAUUGGACAAUGGGCGCAAGCCUGAUCCAGCCAUACCGCGUGGGUGAAGAAGGCCUUCGGGUUGUAAAGCCCUUUUGUUGGGAAAGAAAUCCAGCUGGCUAAUACCCGGUUGGGAUGACGGUACCCAAAGAAUAAGCACCGGCUAACUUCGUGCCAGCCGCCGCCGUAA